GACGAACGCUGGCGGCGUGCCUAAUACAUGCAAGUAGAACGCUGAAGGAGGAGCUUGCUUCUCUGGAUGAGUUGCGAACGGGUGAGUAACGCGUAGGUAACCUGCCUGGUAGCGGGGGAUAACUAUUGGAAACGAUAGCUAAUACCGCAUAAGAGUAGAUGUUGCAUGACAUUUGCUUAAAAGGUGCAAUUGCAUCACUACCAGAUGGACCUGCGUUGUAUUAGCUAGUUGGUGGGGUAACGGCUCACCAAGGCGACGAUACAUAGCCGACCUGAGAGGGUGAUCGGCCACACUGGGACUGAGACACGGCCCAGACGCCUACGGGAGGCAGCAGUAGGGAAUCUUCGGCAAUGGACGGAAGUCUGACCGAGCAACGCCGCGUGAGUGAAGAAGGUUUUCGGAUCGUAAAGCUCUGUUGUAAGAGAAGAACGAGUGUGAGAGUGGAAAGUUCACACUGUGACGGUAUCUGACCAGAAAGGGACGGCUAACUACGUG
Molecule: ribosomal RNA, 495 nt
Filed under: uncultured bacterium
Lineage: Bacteria
Description: partial 16S ribosomal RNA
Rfam family: Bacterial small subunit ribosomal RNA
Source: RNAcentral